CUCGAACGGAGAAUUUAGCAGAGUUUUGAGAUAAAGAAAAGGAGCUUAAAGAAUAACAUAUCUGGGUCUCCCUUUUAUAGGCGGAGGAGGCAAAGGAUUGAUGGCAACAUUUGUAACCGCCUGGCAGCGGGCCGCCCAUGGUCAGGGGAAUUGAUUGCGAAAGAUAGUGGGGUAGACCCGUGGCUAUCGCCAUAGCCUGCCACGUAGGGCCUGUUGUAGGUAGUGGGGCGGCAUCCGUUGCCGCUAGUUGUCAGC
This 255-nucleotide long non-coding RNA is filed under the name Elaeis guineensis (African oil palm). RNAcentral describes it as "long non-coding RNA (EGUI_LNC054998)". The record is from RNAcentral. Lineage: Eukaryota; Viridiplantae; Streptophyta; Magnoliopsida; Arecales; Arecaceae.